UACCAGCACCCCGAGUGGUCGGGACGUUUUAUUGGGCCUAAAGCAUCCGUAGCCGGUUCUACAAGUCUUCCGUUAAAUCCAGCUGCUUAACAGAUGGGCUGCGGAAGAUACUAUGGAGCUAGGAGGCGGGAGAGGCAAGCGGUACUCGAUGGGUAGGGGUAAAAUCCGUUGAUCCAUUGAAGACCACCAGUGGCGAAGGCGGUCGUGCCAGAACGCGCUCGACGGUGAGGGAUGAAAGCUGGGGGAGCAAACCGGG
RNAcentral lists this ribosomal RNA (256 nucleotides) under uncultured bacterium. RNAcentral's name for it is "partial 16S ribosomal RNA". It matches the Rfam family "Archaeal small subunit ribosomal RNA", at positions 474 to 728 of the family's 1478-position model. The record is from RNAcentral.